Molecule: long non-coding RNA, 22168 nt
Filed under: Solanum tuberosum (potato)
Lineage: Eukaryota; Viridiplantae; Streptophyta; Magnoliopsida; Solanales; Solanaceae
Description: long non-coding RNA (STUB_LNC006554)
Source: RNAcentral
UUUUUUUUUUUUGUGGGGGGGUGGGGGGUGGGGUAAAUAGACAAGUUUAAUUUUAUGUUUGCUAUGGAGGUUUUGAUUUGUUUAAUUCGCUAGAUACAUCCAAUUUAAUACAAAUUGUUCAGUUUUGUAUAAAUUCAUUUAUACAUUGUAAUUUGUAUAAUAAAAUCUGUAUUUGUAUAAUUAAAAGUGUACAGGACGAAAAUAUAUGUAUUUGUAUAUACAUUUUUCUCUCGCUUUAUACAAACACAAACACAAACACAUUUUUAUACAUUUUUAUACCGAAAAUGUAUAAAUGACUAAUUGUAUACCGAAUCAGAUGACAAAAAAAUGGAAUGUUUGCUGCGAAUUACAAAUAAAAUAAACUAUGACUAUAACAUUUAAUUUAAAUUAAUAAUUUGCUAUUUCAUACAAUUUUUCCAUAUAUUAUUGGGCUACUUUGCCAAUACAGAUCCAGGCCCAACAAUAGAAUACCCGAAUUGUUAAUGUUUGCAUAAUUUUGUCACCCUCUUAAUGGACACAUUGUAGUAUUUCUAUAAUAGGGACAUUUUUUUUAUUAAAUUAUUGAUGGUAUGAGCAAUUUAAAAGCAAAUUAUUAAUUUGAAGUAUUUUUAUUCAAUUUUACAUAGUUUAAAAAUAUUUAUUUUACCUUUUUCGAUUUAUUUUUUAUUUUUAUUUUAUAAAGUAAAUAGUUUCUUUUUAAUUUGUUGUUGUUAUUUAUUGGGUAAACCAUCUAAAUGGUCAUACAUUCAUAUCAUAUAUAUAUAUAUACAAAUUUUACCUAUGCUUUCAAAUGAUAAUUACCUAGCAUUUCACUAUUUAAGAAUUUUCUAUCAUAAUUUAGUUGAGAUGCAUGGAGAUACAUCACUCCCUAAAAAACAGUCUAGAAUGAUAAAAUAUAAUUAUUAGCAACGGUGAUCAUAAUUCUAUUCUUCUUGAUUAUUAUAUUUCAAGGUGCGAUUCGAUGGAGUUUUUGCCAGAGUUGAAGGUCUUUGACCGGAGAGGAGAGGAGACAAAUUGGAGAGGAGCAGAGAUGGUGAUCAAAAUAUGUAUUUGAUAAAUUAUACACAUGUAUCUAAUUAAGAGUUUAUGUAUCUGCUUAAGUUGAUAAGUUUGGGAAAAUUGUAUAUAAUAACAAACUAUUAAUUCAAAUUAAAUGCUAUAAACAUAGUUUGAUUUAAUUGUACCUCAUAGCAAACUGUUGCUAUUUUUGCCUCUCUCCCUGAUGGAAUCUCGCUCGCCACUCUCGUUUUGCACUACCAGUCUCGCUCGCCUCUCUCGCUUUUAUACCAACACAAAUGUAUAAAAUGCAUUUGUGUUUGUAUAAAGCGAGAGAAAAUUAUAUAUAUACAUAUAUUUUCGUUCCCCUGUCUCCCCUCUCCCAGAUCUCGCUCGCCACUCUCCAGAUCUCGCUCGCCACUAUCACUCGCCUCUCCGAUCAUUUUAUACAAACACAAAUGUAUACAUUGCGUUUGUGUUUGUAUAAAGAGAGAGAAAAUUGUAUUUACAAAUAGAAAUGAUAUAUUUUCGUCUUAUACACUUAUGAUAAUACAAAUAUGAUCUUCUCCUGCCCAGUUUUCUUUUGUCUUUCUCUCUUUCUCGCUUUAUACGAGAUAGAUUAUACAAUUGAUUCUUUUGUAUAUGUAUGCCGAAACAGAUUAUACAAUUGCUUCUUUUGUAUAUAUGUAUAGCGAAAUAGCCAUAGCUUUCAUUUGUAUAUGUAUAGCGAAAUAUACAUAUUUAUGUUUGCUAUGGAGCGCAAUUAUGCAGAUUAUAGCUAUAGCAUACAAAUUUGAUUUUUGUGUUUACUAUAUGUGAAAGUUGCUCAUAAAUUUUAGCUUAUAAAUGAUAUAUAUAUAUAUAUCUAAGAUACAUGUGUCAUUGUAAUUUCAUAAACAAUCUCAUGUCCAUUUUGUUUCAUAUCUCCAUUAGAGUUGAAUUUCCUUCAAUUGUGUAUCUGAUCUCUAUACCUUUUCGAUAUUGAUCAAUUUGUUGAAAUGGCUUCAACGAGAUCGUUGUAAGUAGCACUAUUCUUGAGAAUGAUUCCAUCAAUUUCAAUUCAUCAUAAAUAUCAUCAAUAAGGCCAAGUUUUGGAAUAUCUCAACAAAAAAGUGAUAUUUUUUUUGAACAAAAAAAGUUCAAAUUAUUGAAGAAGAAUUAAGGAGGAGUGUAAGUUUGUUGAAUCUCCCAAAAAAAAUGGAAAGAUUUCGAUUUUUUUCUACGAUGCGCCAGAAUAUUGCAAAGUUAUUGCAAGCAUGAUUUUCAACUCAAUUUAGGGCUUUCAAUUACAUCCCUUAAUUAGUUAGACUUAAUGACAUGUAUAUUACUAGUGAUUACGAUAUAUUUUGAAUACAUGUAUUUGAAAGCGACAAAAUGUAUGUAUUUGGGAUGGGAAACUAUGAUACGAUCCAAUUAUGCAAACGGAAGGGAAGGAAAGUAAUUAGGUAUUAAAUUGGUGGUAUUUGUGUUGUCAUACGCUUAUUUAUUUAGACCUCCAUUUAAACUUAAAGGUUCUUACUGAAAAGACUUUAUGUAACUAGAUUUGUAUCACUCUUAAUUGGUUUGUAAUGAUGCAUAAUUUUAGAUAAAUAAAUUUUAUUUGAGUUAAGAAAAGGAGGUUCUUAUUAUUAAGACAACUUAAAUUCUGAAAUCUAAAAUAGAAGAUACACUUAGCAACAAGUAAACUUAGUAUAUACUACACUCAUAUUGCCUAAUUUUUAGUCAGAGCUCUCAAAUCAUCUAGUUGAAGUUUAAUCACAAAAUAAGCAUACAAGCCAACUAUCAUCCACUAAAAGGCGAAAAAUCAAAUUAUGAUAUGCCAAAAUAGAAUAAAAGAAUAUAAAAGUAUACCCCCACUCAAAUGUAUACAAAAGUUUUUUUUUAUUACAUAGGUUGUCAGAUUGGAUCCAUAUACAUUCAAAUCAAAUGAAUAUGCUUUGAUAAUUCAUCCCAAAAAUGUACUCAACAACCAAGAAAACACAUGGGCCUAAGGUUUGUGGAGAGAAUGGUUUUGGCCCAUCCCCAUGGAUCCUAUGCUUUCAUCAAAUUAAGUCCGAUAACGUGGCAUAAGUGCAGAACACAUAUACCCAAAAGUAGGCCCAAUUAACUUGACUUGACCCUAGGGGUGGGCACGAUACAAUAUAGUAUUGAAAAGUUUGAUUCGAUAAUUUUAGUUUAUGAUUUUUGAAUAUCUAUACUAUAGUCUUAUUAUAUCAAAUUAAUUUAGUAUGAUUCAGUAUUUUAGUCGAUUUCAAUAUUUACGGUACGAUAAACCAAUUACUCCAAGUUUUCAACUUAUAUAUACUAGUAGAGUAAUAAAAAAUUAUGACUUUGAUUUUCAAGAAACAUCUCAAUUAUAUCAUACUAAGACCUUAUACAUGUAAAAGUAUUUAAUAAAGUACAUACAAUUUUCUUGUUAAUCAAUCACCCAAAAAGAACAUUUAAAUCAAGAUAGAGUAAUCGAAAUUUCAACAUCUAAAUUAGUUACUAUUAUUUUGUAUAUUUGCUAGUAUUAUAUAUAUAUAUAUAUAUGAAUUUAUAUGUAGCUAUAUAUUUUGGUAUGGUAUUCGAUAUUUCGGUAUUUCUUUUAUAAAUAACAAAUGCCAUACGAAAAACCAAACUUUUAAAAAUGAAUACCAAAUAUCAUAAAACCCAAACCAUGUGUUAAAAUUUUAGAGAUUUCGCUAUGAUAUUCGAUAUCUAGCCUACCAUGCCCACCCAACCCCAAUAUAUCAAAUCUUAACACCAUAAGGUACUACUUACCUGUUGAGGUACCCUUAUCUGUUUUUUUUUUUUUAAAAAAAUAAACUUAUAUAUGAGUAUAUAUUAAGAAAAAAUAAUCAGUACUCAAUACGAAACACCACCAAAUUUAAGUUAAUGAUAUGGGUAGUUAGUUGGUUCAUUAUGAUGUUUACUUAGUAACUACUGCCAAAUUUGGAUAAGAUCACAAAUAAGGAAAAAGAGGAUUUAUUCAUUAUCUCACAAGAUGCAUUAAAACCUCACAAAACAAUGGGGGAUUUAAUGCAUCUACAGUUACCUCUCGACUCCAAAUUGAUUUGUGUGGAAGCAAAUCAAUUUAGACCAGGGUAUAUUGGUAGCUGUACAUAUUAUAUUCACUUACUAUAUCUACAUCCAAGAAGAACUGAUUGCUCGAAGCUAAAAUGGCGCAACUGUUCUGAUUUCUCCGUUGCUAGUCAUCCAUGGGUGCCCUGUUUGUCAACACCACAUUUACACAAUUUAGUACUCACAGUACUUAAUUACCAAAAAAGAAGAAGUAAUCAAUGGGUAAAGUAUCAAUUUCACUCUUUAAAAGAAGGAUAAAUUAGAUUUAUCUGAAUAUUAAUUAAUACUAAUUCAUGAUUAUUGUAUUUUUUUAAUUUAUUUUUUUGAAAAUUUGGUCAAGAGUUGAGUGAAAAAAUCAUACUGAGAACUUGUUCAGCAGAGAAUCUUCUAGAAACGUCUUUAGAGAGCAUUCUCCGAAGCAAAUCCUUCGCCGCCGGCGAAACUGAAUGGAAGAUCCUAGACGGAAACCUAAGGUUAGCUCUGAGCACAGCCUCGAAGAUCUCUGUAGCCGAGUCACCAAAGAAAGGUGGAACUCCGGCAAGCAUUAUAUACAGAAUAACACCAGCACUCCAAAUAUCGAUCUUCUCACUGUAGUUUCUCCCAGCUAAAACCUCUGGCGCCACAUAAUACGGCGUUCCAACCACGCCGCUCAUCAGCUGUCCCUCAUGGAAACACUCCGCCGAUCCAAAAUCAGCCAAUUUCAGUUCGUUCGAGUCGGUAAAUAAAAUGUUAUCCGGCUUGAUAUCCCUGUGGGCUACACCGAGACGGUGACAGUGCGCUAUUGCUUUCAUUAGUGAUACCUAUACAAACAUUAAGCAGAAAAAUUAUCAGACAUGACGAAAAACUAAAAUAAAAGCCGAUUAUGAAUUCUACUUCGCUUAGCUUCACAAUUUACUUUCUCCUCCAAUUUUCGAAAAUUCAACAAGGUGCUGCUUCGUAGAUCGUUCCUGAUUCAAGCCAUUUUACGAAGCAAAAGUAAAAUUUCCCCAUUUCGAUCAGCAACGAGUGAGAUUUUGGUGAUCUGGAAGAGUACCAUGACAUCAACAGCUUCGGACUCUGAGAAAACCGGUUGACUACUGAGGCGUUGGAACAAAUCGCCGGAGUUGCAGAGCUCUAGAACCAUAUCAAGGUGAGUAUCGUCCUCGUAGAUAUCGAAAACACGAACAACAUAAGGAUUGGGCGAAAGCAAGUGCAUAAUUUUCGCUUCGUUGUAAAGACAUUGUCGAUCUAUGGCGUCAUCGGCGAUUAGGCGCUUGUCGAUAGACUUGACGGCGAAUGACUCACCGGUCGCCGGCGAGUAACACUUGAAAACGGUGCCGAAUCGUCCCCUUCCUAACUCUUCACCCACACAAUAAUUUCGCUUCAGUGACUCACUCAUUCCGUAUGUUUUGUUUUUUUCUCUACUUUUCUGACUCCUAUUUUUUUCGUUUAGAAGCGUUGGUUUUAUAGAGUAAUAGAGAGGGAGUAGAAUUUUAUGGAAGAAUAUUCGGUGGAGAGCAUUGGGCCAAUGAUAUACAGCCGUUUGGAGGUAUUAAGGGGUCGUUUGGUAGCUGUAUAACGUUUGAUUAAUACGAUGUUUGAUUGACAAUUUAGAAAUCCGUAUAAUUAAUACUAUAUGUUUAAGUUUUGAGUUAUGACUGAAUCAAUAUAUUAUUUUUUGCCGAACAUGAAAUAACUAAUGCAUAAAUAACUUAUUUUUACGUAACUAAUACUUGUAUAUAAUAAUACAUAAACUCACUCAUAAUAAAAUACUAUAUAAAUUCACAUAAUUAAUUUUUAUAUCAUUAACACAUAACUUUAAACUCGUUACCAAACAAACACCUAACGGUUAUGGUAGAAUUUGUUGCCUCUCAAGGAAGAUUAUAAUAUUAUGAGUUUGUUUGACAUUACUGCUAAAAAUUAUUUAUUUGUAGAAGUGAUCUUUAGAAUAGUUUUUUAAAAAAAGAAGUGUUUUUGAAAUAAAAUAAUUUGUGUUUGACUAAUUCAUUUUAAAAGUGUUUCCGAUAAACAAUUUGUAUUUGACUAAUCUUUUCUAAAAAGAAUUUUUGAGAGUCUACUUAUGAAAAAUAAGUAUCAGUGCACUUUUAAUAUAUAGAGAGAAAUUAUGUUAAAUAUCGAUUAUAAAAUUUUAAAUUAACAUUUAUUAUUAAAAUGUACAUACUCAAAUUGUCAAUCAAUAUUAUACAUACAUAAAUAAAAAAUAAAUUUAAUAUUAAUAUAAUAUUAACAUGAUGAUUUAAAAUAUAAUUAAAAACACCAAGCAAAAUAAAUUUGAAAACCAUUCCACAAGUUAAGUCACUCCAUAAAAAGAAUUUCACCACAAAAAUAAAUAAAUAUAAAAUAUAUAUUGGUAAAUACUAUGACGUAUGACAGAGAUAUUUUGGUGUUGAAAAAUAUAAUUUCCUGCUUUUAAGAAAUAGAAAUUUUUAUCUUCUUCCAAUAAGCAGAGAGAUUGUUUCUACUUCUAUUUAAAAGCAUAUUUAGGUCGUUUGAUAGUGUUAGGAAAAUAAUGCAUGCAUUCAGGGGCUGGCCCACGUUGUUGCAACUGGGUUCAGUUAAACCCACUUUGUUUCGAAAUCCACCAUAUAUGUAAGGAAAAUUACUGUGAAAUUUGAUGUAAUUAACAACUUGAAUCCACAUAAUACAAAGAUUUAUUGUGGAACGAUGGUUCAAGUUCAUGUUGGAUACUUAGGUUUGAAUCCCCUUUAAGCGUUUUAUGUUUUUGUUUUUUGGAAAUGCGUUAGCGAGGCAUCAAUAUUUAUACUUAUUAGUUAUUGUAUUUAAAUAUUUAUAUUAGUAGUUAGCUCAUAAAUUAUUAUAUUUAUAUUAUUAUUUUUUAAAAUAUAUUUCACCUUGUAUAUUUUGUAUUUUAAUACCCAAAUUCAAUAAAUUCAUAUAAUCUUGCUACUUUAAUAUAUAUUUAUUUUUUUGUUAAUGGAAUUUUGAUACCCUCUUUCAUAGAUUUUUGCUAAAACAUGCAACUAUUUUCGUUGAAAUUUUAUAUAGUUUAUUCAUUUACUUUGAUUUAGCUAAAUAAACGUAAAUAUUAUUUUUUUUGUAAAUUUUCAAAAAAAAAUCUCUACUUCAUUAAAUAGAAAAAGUGUUGAGUUGUAAAAAAAAAAACAAAUAAAAGAUAACAAGCAAAUAGUUUGUUGGGCUAAAACACUAUUAAUUAAUUGAACCCACUUAUACAAAAUACUAGGUCCGCCACGGUAUGCAUUAGCCUUGUAUAUUACUAGGAUUUUUUUUGGUACUCUUUUCCAACCUAUGUUUAACUAAUGCUUGCAUUAGUUAUACACUCUAUUAUGUAUUAAGGUGUGUAUUGCUAAUACGAUGAAUUUCUAGGCAUUAGCAAUGCAAUGAUUUUAAUGCAUGCAUUAGCAUGAUUAAAGACCCAAUUGCCCCUCAAAACCUUUUUUACAUCUUUUCUGCCAUAAUAGUGGAGGGUAUCUAAUUUGUAAAUUAAUUUUUUUAUGCAAUGCAUGCUAUUUUUUAAAUGCAUCAAACCAAAUAAUACAUAAAAAUAAUCUAUGUAUAACAACUAAUGCAAGCAUAACUAAUACGUACAUUGUUAAUGCAAGCAUUACUAAUACACUCUAUUUAACAUUAUUCUUAUACACAUACCUUAAUUUUUAGAAUAGAUAUUUUCUCUUAAAAUAAAUACUUUUGACCUCCCAAACACUCUUCGAACAUCAUAGUAUCAUCAUACUAUCAUCGAUUUCCUCUUUUUUAGGCAAUUUGUUGAGUAACAAACACUCUUCGUUACCAAUUUGUACUUACUCUUCGCACUGACUUAGCUAUUGAAUAAGUAAUAUACACGAGACAUUCAAUUCGAGCUAUUCUUGAAUUUCAAUUUCAAUUUUCGCAUAAAAAAAUUGGUAUAUUUCACAUAUUUUUAAAUUUAGAUCAUAAAAAUGAAGAGUCUUUUUUUAUUUUUUAAACUCUAUACCAAAUCAAAAUAGGUCAAAUUAAAUAUAUUAAAACAAAAAAGUAUAUAUGUAUUAGAUUUGGUACUUUUAUUGAAAAAGAUGUUAUAAUGAAAUUUAUAAGAGAUCAAGAAUAAGCGUCUUAAUUUAACUCAUUAGAUUCGAUUAUUAACAAUUGAAAUGCUUUUAUUUGAAAAGUUUGAGGCACAAGAAAAUAAGUGUUAUCGUAUUCUUGAAAUCAGAAUGCUCUACAUUUGUGUAAAAACUAUUAUCCUUAGAUUAUAAAGGAUCAAAUUAACCAAUAAAAAAACUACACUUGAGCCCUAAACAUACUACAACCAAUGUGGAAAUGUUAUUAGUAAUGCCGUCAAUAAAUAUAUAAUUAUAUAAUAUUUAUACAAUAGAAUGUAUGUGCUUUGUAAUUUUUAUAAUAUAAAUUAUACAUCUCAUAUACAAAUCACAUACAAUACAUUACAAGUAAGAACAUUUACAUCAAAUACAAAGAAUAUAUAGUUAUAUAAUAUGUAUGCACUUUACAUAAUAUAAAAGUUGAUUGAUAAAUAAAGUAUGGUUUAUAAUUAAAGAACAUAUACAUAAAAUAUAAUUGCUAUUGUACUUACAAAAAUUUAAAUUCACAAAUAUACCAUCGAUAUAGUUCAAAAUAUAUUUUUUAAUAUAUCAACACCCAUGAUAAAACAUAAAUUAAAUAGUAGUAGUAAAAUAUCUUUAAAUUGACAUUAAAUGUUUUAAUUUGCCCUAUUUUUCAAUGGGAUGAAAUUAUGUGAGAAGGCCAACAUGAAACGUAAUAAUUUUCUACAUGGAAGAAUUUUGUACGAUGGAAAUGAAAUAUUACCUAAAAUAAGGCCUAAAAUAUGGAAGUAUAUUAUAACUCAACGGAUUUUCUAUUAUGAAGUAACAGACAAAUGAUAAUCCAAAUUACAUAAAAAUAUUACAUAAAUUAAAGUCACAAAAUUUGGGGAAAGCCAAUUAUUAGCUAAAAAGGGUAAGAAAAAUGGUGUAGAAUUGUUUUAAAAUGAGUUAUAAAAACAAAAUAAAUCUAUUGUAUCUAAUAUAUAUUAGGGGCACUAGAGGUGGGCAUAGUGGUAUGGAAUGGUAUUAGAAAUUUUGAUACCGUAAUUUACAAUAAUCCAUUUUUAAAACUAUUAUAUUAUUAUCAUAUCAAUUUAAUUUGCUAUAGCUUGAUAUUUUACGGUAUGAUAAAUCGAUAAUCAUAAUUUAUACAACUUCAAUUAAUAUAUACUCAUAUAAUAGAUUAUUAUGACUUUGACAAUUCAAAAAAAAAAUCUCAAUUGAAUCAGACUAACACAUUAUAUAUAUAUUCAAAAGAAAGUACAAGCAACUCCUUUUGUUAAUCAAUUACAUUUAGGUACAUUUCAAUCAAAAUAGAUUAGUCAAAGUUUUAACUUCUAAACAUUUAGGGGUCGCUUGGUCUGAAAAUGAGUUAUGAUGGAAUAAGUUAUGUUGGGAUUAGUAAUGAUGGGAUAAGUUGUGCUGAGAUUAUUUCUUAUUAAGUGUUUGGUUUGUUGUAUUCAAAAUAAUAUAUAUUAAUAAAAUUUAAGAACAAGUUGUUUGUUUACAAAAUUACCCUUCACUUUUAUUUAAUUUUUUAAAUUUUCUUUGCGAGCUUUAGUUAUUUAUUUUAUUUAACAUAAAUGUUUUUGUUUAUGUACUCCCAUGAUAAGUACCAUGUGUAAUUUAAAAAUAUUAACUUUUUUUUAUUUAGCUUAAAAAUAAAACUUCUCUAUUUAGUUUGUUAAAGAGAAGAAAAGUUAUGAGAAAUCAAAAUAAAAUAAACAUAAGAAUUAGUCAAAUAAAAAUUAUAUUUAUAUAGUGUAAUUUUUUAAUAGAAAAAUAUUGAAUGAUUAUCAUAAAAAUAAGAAGUAGUAAAUAUUAUUAUACAUGAUAUUAAAAAUAAUGUAAAUAUAAAUAAAUGUGAAAUGAUGUAUAAAAGGAUUUAAAGGGAUAUAUUUGUCACUUACCUAUUUUAUCCCGGGAUAAGAUAUCCCGGGAUUACUAUACCACCCAAUAUGAGGGAUAACUUAUCUCGGUACUAAUUCAUAAUCCUGGGAUAAGUUAUCCCAAACUUUCCAACCAAACAAGAAAAUAAAGGGCACAUAAAAUUUAUCCCGGGAUUAACUUCCCUAAUCCAUUACACCAAAUGACCCCUUAGUUUAUACUAAUACUAGGUUACAUAUUUUUUUAGUAUUUUAAUAAUAUAUAUAUAUAUAUAUAUAUGUGUGUGUGUGUGUGUGUGUUAUUUAUGUAACUAUAUACUUCGGUAUGGUGUUCAAUAUUUCGAUAUGUUGUUUCUAAAUAUCAAAUAUCAUACCGAAUACCAAAAAGCUUUAAAAAUAUACCAUAUAUCAUACAAAAUACCAUAAUAUCAAAUCACAAUAUCAAUUUUUUUGAUAUGAUAUAACAAUUCGGUAUAUACCAUACUAUGCCCACUCCUAUAAGCAUGUAAUCUAAUCAAUUGUUCUAUAAUUAACUUUAUGAUAGCUUUGAGAAUCAUUACGUUAAAGAGUUAAAUUUCAUCCAUUAAACUAGGGGUGUACAUGACCAUGCUGGUUCGGGUUUUUCAAAUAUCAAAUCAAAUCAGUUGUGUCAAAAUUUUAAAUUUAUAAGUCAAACAAACUAAUAAAACUCAAAUUUUCCAACCUCAGAUUUUUUUCGGGUUGGUUUGGCUUUUUCAAAUACCAAACCAAACCAUUUGUGUCGAAUUUUGAAAAUUCUAAAUCAAACUAAACUAAUAAACAUAAGAUUUUUUCAGGCUUUUUGAUUUUUCCGGUAAAGUAUUCAUAUAAGCAUAUGAUUAACUUGUGCUCCAAAUAUUUCUACCAAAAUACAACUAUCUAAAGUGUUUCUUAAGAAAAAUAACACAAAAUAUGAGAUGAGUGAUGACACUAAAAUAUUCAAUGAAAAAUAAUAAUGAAAUCACAUAAAAUAAAUAUUGCAAAUUGAUAAGUCAUAAUGAAAAUUAUCAUAAUUUAAAAGUACUAAAUCAUGCUAAAAUAAUUCUAAUAAAUAUUAAUUACCGAUUAAACAUUAAGGAAAAAUUAAAAUUAGGUUAUCUAUUUUAAAUGUCUAAACCAAUGUAAAACUAAAGAACAACUAUUCAACAUUAUUGUCAUUCUUACUGUUGAAUUGAUUUAUUUUGUUAGCAUUAGUAUUGAUUUGAUUUAGAAUUGUAGGAAAGGGCGGAAAUAUAGUCCAAUGCCGUGAAGGCGAUAAUGUCUUACGAUCUGGAGAUAUCCAUAUUAAUCAUAUUAUGGAGCGAAGAUUCAAACCCUAAAUUGAGAGUCACGGGCCAAGACUCCAACAGGACCUGGUGCGCUAGGACUCCUGAGUUGGUGAUAUGUCACUAGGCAACACAUUACACAUUAGCAGAUGGAUGCUAUAAAUUCCUCCAAAAAAUCUUAUAAUAUUGUGCAACCAUACAAUAUACUCUAAAUUCUCGUUGUCGAGGGAAGUGAAUCAACAAAUGCAUGAAAGGACGGAUGUAUGAGAAUAUUUUGUGUGCUACUUCUGAUGAUGCAUGCAUUGGGGAUAAGUACAUGUCAGUUCCGUAGAUCAACACUUUUUAUAGACUUACUUUUAUUGGACCAUUCAAAAUUUUAAGUCUCAAAAAACUUUAAAAAAUAUGUUAAAAGAUAAAAAUUAUGAAAACGUACAAGUAAUAUUUAGAAAUCACAUUAAAGUAAAUACUUUUAUAUAUAAAAUAAAAUUUAAAAAGUAUAUAUAUAAUGCCGGAUUGACUUCUUUAGUUAAAACCAAACCAACCCAAGUAUAGUCGGGAUUUUUCUUUUUCCGAUAGCAAAUUAAGUCAAAUCAAACUAUUAGUCAAAUUUUUUUGAUUUGAUUCGAUUUACGAUUUGGUUCAAUUUUCAUUUCGAUUUCGUACAACUAUACAUUAAACAUUAGUGAUAAAACAGAUUUAAAUGAAUGAAUUAACAAAUUGAUUGUGCCUAAUUCGAGCGGAAAAAGAUUGGUAAAGUACAAUUACGUGAAGUAAUGUUAUUGCCUUGUAGAUUUACAUCACAUGUUUCAUAAAAGAAUGAUUGAGAUCCAUUUCAAAUUCAUGUACUAGUAAAUUUAAAAAAAUGACAAAAUGCAUUAAUGACAGUUGUUUGAUUAUACAAAAUAAAAUAAUUAAAAAUGGAUAUAAUAUAAAUUUUAUAAAAUAACCGGUCAAAUCGUACUCAUAACAGUUGUUAGUGCAUUUUUUUUUUAAUGAAUAUAUGGAUUGAAAGAAAUUUCAAACAUAAUUUAUUUGAUGGUACACAUGGAAUAGACCUAUAAUUAGACCAUUUCCAAUCCGUCUCUAUUUUACUCUUCAUUUGUAGAAAUCUCACGUCUAGAAUUAGAGAGAUCAAGGAUUAUAUUGAUGAAAAUAAUAUUGAGUUACAAGCUCCUUAUAUAGGAGAAAAGUCCUAUUCUAGUUAUACUAGGAAUCCUACUACAACACAACUAUUUUCAUAAGUAGUAUUGUAUUAUAACUCUAAUACCUUAUCCUAGUCGACUCCUGCAAUAUAGAGUAGCUUAGUCGUACAUAACUUAGGAUUUAGUAGUCUAGUCCUAGUAUGACUCUAACUCUAACUCUAAUUCGUCAGCCUGCUUCGAUGGACAUGCUCCUUCGACAUGUUCCAUUAGUCUUCAAGCUUCCUUCAACACUUCCCCUCAAGCUAGUGAGUGGAGGAACGGUAACUCCUAGCUUGCUGCGAAAACCAGAGAAAACCUGUUUUGUUAAGGCUUUGGUAUGAAUAUUAGCUAGCUGAUCCUUAGACUUCACAAAAUGAGUAAGAAGUUGUCCCCUAGCCACUUUCUCACAAACAAAAUGAUAGUCCAUUUCAACAUGUUUGGUUUGAGCAUGCAUAACUGGAUUAACCGUCAUGUACAAGGCACUCAUGUUAUCACAAUACAACGUAGGAACAGAUCGAAGGAACACUCCAAGGUCAUGAAAAAGAUACACAAUCCAAGUCAUUUCUGCAGCAGUGGAGGCUAGUGCUCUAUACUCAGCUUCAACACUCGAUCGGGCUACUGUGGUCUGUUUCUUGGAGGUCCAAGAAAUACAAUUUGCACCUAGGUAGAUGCUAUAGCCUGUAGUUGAUCUCCUAGUGGUGGUACAACCACCCCAAUCAGCAUCUGAGUAGCCAUACAGCCUAUAUGGUGACUGUGAAAUAAUUUUGAGUCCAAAAUGUAGAGUACCUUUUAUGUACCUGAGAAUCCUUUUUACCCCUGGAAGGUGUUCAGUGUUUGGGCUUUGCAUAAACUGGCUAGCUAAAUCUACGACAUGAGUGAUAUUAGGUCUUGUGAGGGUAAAAUACUGAAGGCUCCCUACUAUGAUCUGUACAAGGAGGCAUCUACAAGACUUCCCACAGCUUCAUGCAAACUAUGCUUUUGCGCCAAAGGAGUGGCUACAACUUUUGACAAACUCAUCUCUAUCUUGGCCAGCAACUCAGCAGCAUACUUGCUUUGAUUUAAGUGAAUUCCUCCUUCGAAAUACUUCACCUCAACUCCUAGAAAGAAGUGUAAAGGGCCAAGAUCUUUCAUAGCAAACUCCUUCCCAAGUUGGAGAACUAACUCUGAGACAUGAGAUGGAUUACUUCCCGUGACAAUAAUAUCAUCCACAUAUAACAAGAGAAAUAUUUUGCCUUUGUGAGUAUGCAAAGUAAAUAAGAAAGGGUCAGCCUUACUACAAAUGAAACCAAGGUGUAAGAGAUGCAUGCUAAACCUAUCAAACCAGGCUCUUGGUGCUUGUUUAAGACCAUACAAUGCCUUUUUAAGUAGACACAUAUGAUGAGGAUAUUGGGGAUCAAUAAAACCAGGAGGUUGACUCAUGUACACCUCCUCUUGUAAGAAGCCAUGGAGAAAGACAUUUUUGACAUCUAGUUGUCUAACUUCCCACUUUAAAGUAAUAGCAAUUGAUAGAACCACCCUAAUAGUUGUGGCUUUAACCACAUGACUAAAUGUUUCUUCAAAAUCUAUCCCUUCAAGCUGCGAGAAUCCCCUUGCCACAAGUUUGACCUUGUAUCUAUCUACUGUCCCAUCAACUUUUAACUUUGUCUUGAACACCUAUUUUGAGUCAAUCAAAUUUAUACCAGGAGAUUUGGGCACCAAAAUCCAUGUCUUGUUAGUAUGUAAAACAUCAAUUUCUUCCUGCAUUCUUGCAAGCCAAUGAGGUGACCUUAGUGCUUCCUUAGUAGUAUUUGGUUCUCUCAAAAAAUUUGUGCUACUGCGAGCAACAAGUGACAAGUGAUGUUCCUUCGCCUUGUGCCUAGUGAUCAUAUGAUGCCCUUGUGGUGCGGGAAGUACCUUAACUGGUACAUCAACCAAAGUAGUUGACUGGAGUGUAACAUUGUCAGAUUGAUGGUCAACUGGUACAUCAACUAAGUAGUUGUUUGAUGAUGCUCAUUGGCUGGACCUGUAAGUGCAACCUGUUCCUCACUGCUACUAGCAGAUCCAAAAUCUGCAGCUGGAGUUUCAAUACUACUGUAUGGAGCAUCACCUUCAACCUGUUCCUCAGCAUCUGUUUCUGCGCCUGAGAGGUCAAUAGUACUCUCAUCAUCAAGGAGUAUAUGAGUUGUAGCAACAUUAUCUAACGUGUGGACUAGCAGCCUGUAGUUCCCCUGAAUCAUAAUUAUCAUGUGCCUGCAGUUUAGAGAAAGAUUCAACAAAUGUAGCAAGAUGAGGUGAGACAUCAACGUUAGUCUGAGAUUGCUUUGGAGACGCAUAGGGUAAUGUGUUUUCAUCAAACACAACAUGUCUGGAUAUGUAAACCCUUAGGGGGAUGAUAACAUCUAUAUCCUUUGUGUAAGCUGUUGUACCCUAUGAACACACAAAGGUAGGUCUUUGGACUGAACUUGUUGUUACUCUUGAUAUAUGGGAAACAUCUACACCCAAACACUUUUAGGCUGUUAUAAUCAGGUUGUUCCCCGUACAACUUAACAAAUGGAGUCACCAUCUUUAGGACUGAGGAGGGCAGUCUAUUGAUGAGAAAUAUUGCAGUGAGGAAAGCCUCAACCUAAAGAAACAAAGGUAGAUUAGCAUAAAGUAGUAAAGUUAAGCCAGUCUUCACAAUAUGCCUAUGUUUUCUCUCUGCAACUCCAUUUUGUUCAGGUGUGUUAGGACAUGAAAUAUGUCUCACAAUGCCACAAUCUUCCAAAUGCUUAAUGAAGUCUGUUUGGAUAAACUCACCACCUCCUGCCUCCAUCACACUGAAAAAUCUUAUUUUCUUUAGAAAAUUGUUUUUCCACAAUUUUUUGGAAUUUUAGAAAGACCUCAAAGAAUUCAGAUUUCUUUUUCAGUGGAUAAAUCCAUGUAUAUCUCGUGUGAUCAUCAACAAAAACGACAUAAUAUUUCAUAUGUUGGGAAGAUCCGACAGGAGCAGGUCUCCAUAAAUCACAAUGGAUUUUCAAUAAAGGUUCUUUCUCAAUAUAAUUUCUCAAACCAAAUGGAAGUUUACAACUCUUUCCNNNNNNNNNNNNNNNNNNNNNNNNNNNNNNNNNNNNNNNNNNNNNNNNNNUGACAACUAGAACAAACAGUAGGCAUUUUAUUCCAACUACUAAUAUUGAUGCAGCUAUUACUAUUCAAAACUAUUAAAGACUUUAAACUAGGGUGUCCUAAUCUAGUAUGCCACAUGUUGUCUGACGUGUUCCAAUCGUAUGCAGCAGUCAAAGCAUAAAGAUUGUUAUCUUCCAAAGCAUAGAGUCCAUUCCUUUUAAAUCCCUUGGCCAGUAGUGUCCUUGUCUUCUUGUCCUUUAUAACAAAGUUAGUUUCAUCAAAUUCAAGAGUUCAACAAUUAUCCUUUGCAAGCUUACUAACUGAGAGUAAAUUUUUAUUAAUCUUAGGGACUACAAGAACUUCUUUUAACUUUAGACCUGAUCUGGAUAUGUUUCCAACAUGUGUUAUGUCUAACUUUGAUCCAUUCCCAAUAAUGAUUUUAUCUGGUCCAUUAUAGUGUUUAAGAUCAGUUAGUAUACCUGAGUUAUGUGUCAUAUGGCUACUUGCUCCUGAGUCCACAUAUAAGGUGUCAUCAGUGUUUUGUAGAUUAGUAGCAGACAAUGCUUGUGGUAGCUCAUCUGUAGUUUGGUAAGAGAAAUCCCACCUGUAAAAACACUUAAGAGCAGUAUGGUUAUUCCUACCACAAAUUUGACACGCAUCAAUAUUGUUCCUCUCAUGACUUCCACUUGAAGAACUGUUCUGAGGACCUGGUCCGUUUCUGCUGUUAUAAGAACCUGUUCCUUGUCCAGCAAGCUUAAAGCCUUUUCCUCUAGAAUUGAAAUUAUUGUUUCCUAUUCUUUGAGAGUAGUUUUCUCUUCCCCUGCCCCUUUUGGGCAGAGAAUACCACGUUAUGGUUUUGUUGGGGCACUUCUUCUUCAUAUUCCCUCGUAAGAAAACCCUUGAGAGCAUUAACAAAUUGAUUAAAAAUAAGAUAUGGUGCCUUACCUAGCAUGANNNNNNNNAAGGUCUUGUACUUAAGACCUAGACCUCUAGCAAAAUUAAUCACUUUGCUAUCUUCAUCUACGGGCUUGUGAAUGGUUGUAAGGCCAUCACAUAUGCCUUUGAAUUCCUUAAUAUAUUCGUCAAUUGUUUUGGUUCCUAGCUUCACACUUUGCAGUUGUUGUUUGAGCUUGAACUCCUUAUCUUUUGUUGCUUGAAGAUAGGCUUCUUCCAAGCAUUCCCACAUCUCCUUGGCAGUUGAGCAGCCUACGAUCAAGUACAUGUUUUCUUCUGUCAAGGUGCCUGAGAUCCAACUCCUUAGCAACACAUCAUUCUCCUCACAGUCAUCAACAAUGUUGCUGUCGUCUGCACCCUUUUCGCCUGCUACAACUUUCUCAGUAGUCUGUCCAGUGGAACAGGUAUCUUUAGGUGGUUCUGUGAUGAGGUAGGUUAAUCUCAUCACUUGAAUCAACUGAGACAUUUUUGUCCUCCAUAUAGGAUAGUUCGUUGGCUUAAGUUUAAUGGAGCACGACGAAAUAAGAUGAUGAAGUAAAGAGGUCGAAAGAGUGUUGGUAGAAGGGGCCAUUGCGGUUUGAUUUUGUGGUUGUUUUGAUUUUGAUUUAAUACGUUAAAGAGCAGAAAAGCUUUAUUGCUGUGAUACCAUGUAGAAAUCUCACGUCUAGGAUUAGAGAAAUCAAGGAUUGUAUUGAUGAAAAUAAUAUUGAGUUACAAGCUCCUUAUAUAGGAGAAGAGUCAUAUUCUAGUUAUACUAGGAAUCCUACUACAACACAACUAUUUAUAUGAGUAGUAUUGUAUUAUAACUCUAAUACCUUAUCCUAGUCGACUCCUGCAAUAUAGAGUAGCUUAGUCAUACAUAACUUAGGAUUUAGUAGUCUAGUCUAGUAUGAGUCUAACUCUAACUCGUCAGCCUGCUUCGAUGGACCUGUUCCUUUGACAUGUUCCAUCAGUCUUCAAGCUUCCUUCAACACCAUUCUCUAUAUUUGGAGAGUAAAAUAGAGAACAUGUUCUCCAAUCACUCUCUAGUUCACUCUAUAUUCUUCAAUUAUAGAGAAGUGAAUAGUAGAUCUCCAAAUUUGGAGAACUACAAUUCACCUCUCUAUUUUACUUUUUGAUUAUUUUAAUAUUAUUUCUAUUAUAUUACUAUUUAAGUCUUUAUCAUUUGUAAUUAUUUUCUAAUGUAAUACAACAUCUAAAAAUAUAUUAUUAACAAGUUACUACUUCCACCCAAAUUAAUAAUUUUUCUAUUUUAUUUUUUAAAAAGAAAUGGUCACUUCAAAUAUGUAAUUUAAAGUUAUUUUAAUAUUAUUUAUAUUAUAUAAGAUUAUUAAUUAAGUAUCUAAUAUUUAUAAUUAUUUUCUAAUUAAUAUAACAUCUAGAACAUAUUAUUGAUAAGUAUACUACUUNNNNNNNNNNNNNNNNNNNNNNNNNNNNNNNNNNNNNNNNNNNNNNNNNNNNNNNNNNNNNNNNNNNNNNNNNNNNNNNNNNNNNNNNNNNNNNNNNNNNNNNNNNNNNNNNNNNNNNNNNNNNNNNNNNNNNNNNNNNNNNNNNNNNNNNNNNNNNNNNNNNNNNNNNNNNNNNNNNNNNNNNNNNNNNNNNNNNNNCAACAUCUAAAAAUAUAUUAUUAACAAGUUACUACUUCCACCCAAAUUAAUAAUUUUACUAUUUUAUUUUUUUAAAGGAAAUGGUCACUUCAAAUGAUUUGAAUUGUUCGUUAAUAUGUAUUAUAUAUAAUAUUUAUUGCAAUUUAUGUUAUUUAGAAAUUUUGAAUAAAAUAUAAUUUUAUAUUAAAUGAAGAAUUUGAAAAAUAAUAAAAUGUUAUAUUACAUAAAGAUUAUAGAGUGAUUAUUUGCAAAAAGAAGAAAUGAUUUAUAUUAUGAAAUAAGAAAAUAAGAAUGAAAUAGAAAUAAUAAUAUAAUAUAGAGGAGAGAGAAAAAUAUUCUUUUUUAGAGAAUAAAAUAGAGAAUUUGAUUGGAGUUAAUUGUCUGAAAAAAUAGGAAACUCUAUAUUUGGAGAGUAAAAUAGAUGACAGGGUUGGAGAUGCCCUAAGCUUUUCAAAAAUAUUGACGAUGGUGUAUCGGAUCCUCCAAAAAUAAUGUAUUAUUCAAAAGUCUAAUAUGAAUACGAUAUCAUUUUCUGAGAAUCCGAACGACUUUGCUUCAACCCACUUAAAGUCUUGAAUGGUAAAUUAUUAAUAUGUGAUCGGGUGUUGUCUAAUUUUCUUGUCAGUAUUGUUAAUAUUACUUUCUUACUAUUUUAUUGUCUUAUUUUAGAUUUUUAGUACGUAUUACAUAUUGCUUCCUUUGCUUUAAUUAUCAUAUUAUUUAUUAAUGAUAUUUGUUCUCUUCUUAAUUGUUUUCAACAUUACUUUACUGACUACUAUGUUUGCUUUACAUAUUUUAUUUUUGAUACUUGAAUUGAGGGUGUUUAUCGGAAACACCUUCCCAUACAUUACAAGAUAGAAGCAAGACUACGUAUACAUCAUUCUUCUCAUACUGCAGUUAUGAAGUUAUAUUAACGUGCAUGGUUGUAGUUUAAAGUCCAGAGAAGCAAUUAAGGGGUUGAAUUAUUUUUAUAGAAUUUGCUUGUUUGAUUAGUAAAUUUCUUAAUUAUUCACUAUAAGAGAUUUUAUUAGAGUGCUAUAAUUAGUGGUAAAAUAAGAAGUUAAAGACAAUAGAUUAAGGGGCGUUUGUUGGCUAUAAUCACGGAACUGCCAAAUUUGAAGUUCCGUACUUAUUGGGUAUGUUCGUCUUAUUGAUUAAAAUCCUAUUUGUAAGCUAAUUUAGAAAGUUUACAAAUUACUAUUAAAUUAAAUUAGCUAUACGUACUUGGUUGUUUUAUUAUAUUUUACUUGACAAUAUUAUUGUAUAGUAAAUGUAUGUUAUUUAUAUGUUUAAUGUAUCAAUGAAUAUACAAAACACAUACAAAGGUCAAAAUUCGGAUGACUAAUUAACUCAUAAAUACUUAUUUCAAACGUCAAUAAUGUUGUUGUUACCCUAAAUUUAUAAGGACGGAUACUAUUGUAUCCUCUUCUUCUAAGUUUGUAUUUAUGUACAAAUACACUUGAUACAUUAGUGUAUAUUUGAAAUUGAAUACACUUGUAAAAAUUGAUACUAAAUAUACAAAUACAUGAAACUAUGAAACACAAAUACAUUGUAAAACAUAUAUACAAAAAAGGAGAGGAACAUAAGAGGAAGAGAAGCGAGAGAGAGAAAGUAUAUGUUAUUUUCGAGACUAUCGCUUCGUUGAGUAAUUAGCAACUAUACUAUCCUCCCAUGUAUUUUUUGAAGUGGGCUCUUAGGCCUGCUUUGUGGUCCAUGUACUGACUGGCCCACUUCUCUUAUCGAAACCCUUUGAGAAGUUAUAAAGCCAAAAUUUCAGUCCAAUUAGCCUUUGAUUGCUCUCAACGGUUAGCAAAAGGAGGAUUUUGGAAGCUAUUGGGGAACAAAAUUGCUUUUGCUAGUGAAAUGUGAUUUGGUUUCCCACAAACCUAAAGUGACAUCAACCAUUAGUUUACUCCAUAAUGAUUAAUAACACAAUAAAAUACCUCCUCAUCCAUAUCUGAAUCUAAAUCCAACUAAUCCAGAUUCAUCUUUAGUAGCUCACUAAAGGAGGGUGCAUCUUAUAAAAAAUUCAGUCAUUCAUUUUCAAGAGUUGAAUUCAAGAUUUUCGUUAAAGGAUUAGAUGAGUCUAAAUUGUUGAAAGUUUUGAAAAUUACACGAAAUAAAAUUACUAGUGGAAUAGUGUUAAACAUUUUGAACAUUUCUAAAUAGAAAUAAAUAUCUUAUAAGAUAUACAGAGACCAUAUAAAAUGUAUCUUGGGAGUAACUCAGUCCCUAAGAUUAGAUAAUAAGGGAAGGAUUUUCCAUGACAAAAGAUCACCCAUCUCGUUUUCAUUUGAUGUGGAACUCUUCGACAAUAUCACAUAAAGUAUAACCAUAGUAAUCCCCUAUUAAAUAAUAAAUUCUAUCAUGCAAUUAUUGAAGAAAAUUUACAAUUAUUACAAUAUUACUCAUUACAAACAUAAAGGCUAAAAUAUCAAAUAUGCUAAACGCUUAAACCUAAUGUCAUACCUAGAAUAUAUAUAUAUAUAUACACUCAACAUGAUAUUUCCGAUAGGAAGAGCAUCAUGAAGAGUAAAUAAUAUAAUAUUUAUGUAUUUUUCAUGUCAUGUACGAUAAGAGAAAAGAUACAAAAGGGGCAUUAUAUUAUUGAGAAGGAAAGUUCCUUCGAGCUUCUUUUUGUUCUUUGUGACUAUAUAUAUAUUAGUUGAAUGACUACUUAUCACUUAAAAUAUUAUUUCAUGAGAAUAUUAACAAGAAACAAAAUUUCUUCUAUUAGUCCAUAAUUUAGGUGCUCAUUACAAUAGUCACUACUUUGAAGAAAAAUAAAAGUCUGUUAUUAAUCUUAUUUAACGACGGAAUAGUGACAAAUUCUAUCCAGAAAUUGGCAAGCUUUUUUGUGAUAUGCAGGCAGCAAAUAUAUUUUACACCAUAAGCAACUGAUCAGUUAUUCUACUAAUAUUUUGAAUGGUCCUUAGACUGUAUAGAACAUCAAAUCUCUUCAAAUGAAAAUAAAUAAAAGGGGACCAUUUCAAGAAGUGUAAAAAGUGUCAUCCACCAGAAAUUUUGUUUUCAUUAGAUAAAAUUUACAUUUGGAGAAAGUUUUUUUGAGUGCCUUUUGGUGUAAGCAAAUGGUUUAGGGAAAUGUUUGGCUUAUUUUCAUUAUAAUAUAAAAGAAGAUAAUUUAGGUUCAAGGACAAAGUGAGGUACAAAAGCAAGGACAAUCACAUAUAUAAAAGAAGUAGAUAUAAUGACAAAGUUUGGCUGGAGCAAAGACAAUAUUAUAUUGUUUGGUACCAAAAUUAAACAUUUACAUGUGCAAUAACAUCAAUUGCUGGACCAAUACUGUCGUCUUCUUCUUUUCUUUUCAUUUCAUUCCACUGUGCAAAGAAAUAAAUUUUGGCUAGUUGGCUAAAAAUUGAAAUUUUCCUAGUGAAAAGAAUACCUUAGAAAAACUCAUCAUCAAAAAAUAAAAACAUUAGAUCAUUUUAGUAUCUUGCCAUUAUUAUUUUUUUGAGUAAAAAAAAAGAAAGAAAAGAUUGUGUCCAAACAGGCACUAGUGUAUAACGAAAAUAAUCAAUGUAUAAUGUAUACCUCAUAAUAUCAACGCACAUAUAGAUACAACAAAUACAAUCACCUAAUACCUCAAAAAAAUAUGGAAAUAUAGAGAAAAAAGGGCUGAAAUACAAAAUAAAAAGAGGAGAAAAUAUGGAAUAGAAAGAGAGUUCAGAGAGUUGUAGCUAUAAAUCUCUAAUUAUGCCAAAUGAGCCAUUUAUGGAAUUUCCUUUAAAAAAAAAUAAAAAAAUCCUAUUUUGAUAUGCACUUGGAUUUUGAACAUGCAAUCUGUUUCUACAGCUAUAAAAUUAUAUUACUAGUAAAAAUAAGAUGAGAAGUUUAAAGCUAAAAUGAAAAGAGUGAUAUAAAAUGAGACUCAAAAAUACACAUAUUUUACCUCUCAACAUUCAAACAACAAUAGAAUAUUUAACAUUAAAAUUGAAAAAGGAAGAAUAAUAUGAAUAAAGACCAUCACACACUCUGGAAGAGAAACAUAAGAUCCAGGAUUUUAAACAUUUGUUUCCUGUAUCAGACUGCACCAAAAAAAGUUCUAUGAAUAGAAAACCAAAAGGGUUAGAAAAACUAUUU